UGAUCGGCCACACUGGGAUUGAGACACGGCCCAGAUUCUUACGGGAGGCAGCAGUAGGGAAUCUUCCACAAUGGACGAAAGUCUGAUGGAGCAACGCCGCGUGAGCGAUGAAGGCCUUCGGGUCGUAAAGCUCUGUUGUUAGGGAAGAACAAGUGCGAGAGUAACUGCUCGCACCUUGACGGUACCUAACCAGAAAGCCACGGCUAACUACGUGCCAGCAGCCGCGGUAAUACGUAGGUGGCAAGCGUUGUCCGGAAUUAUUGGGCGUAAAGCGCGCGCAGGUGGUCCUUUAAGUCUGAUGUGAAAGCCCACGGCUCAACCGUGGAGGGUCAUUGGAAACUGGGGGACUUGAGUGCAGAAGAGGAAAGUGGUAUUCACAAGUGUAGCGGUGAAAUGCGUAGAGAUUUGGAGGAACACCAGUGGCGAAGGCGACUUUCUGGUCUGUAACUGACACUGAGGCGCGAAAGCGUGGGGAGCAAACAGGAUUAGAUACCCUGGUAGUCCACGCCGUAAACGAUGAGUGCUAAGUGUUAGAGGGUUUCCGCCCUUUAGUGCUGCAGCUAACGCAUUAAGCACUCCGCCUGGGGAGUACGGUCGCAAGACUGAAACUCAAAGGAAUUGACGGGGGCCCGCACAAGCGGUGGAGCAUGUGGUUUAAUUCGAAGCAACGCGAAGAACCUUACCAGGUCUUGACAUCCUCUGACACUCCUAGAGAUAGGACGUUCCCCUUCGGGGGACAGAGUGACAGGUGGUGCAUGGUUGUCGUCAGCUCGUGUCGUGAGAUGUUGGGUUAAGUCCCGCAACGAGCGCAACCCUUGAUCUUAGUUGCCAGCAUUCAGUUGGGCACUCUAAGGUGACUGCCGGUGACAAACCGGAGGAAGGUGGGGAUGACGUCAAAUCAUCAUGCCCCUUAUGACCUGGGCUACACACGUGCUACAAUGGACGGUACAAAGGGCAGCAAAACCGCGAGGUCGAGCCAAUCCCAUAAAACCGUUCUCAGUUCGGAUUGCAGGCUGCAACUCGCCUGCAUGAAGCCGGAAUCGCUAGUAAUCGCGG
RNAcentral lists this ribosomal RNA (1056 nucleotides) under Bacillus sp. EM21. Its description in RNAcentral is "bacterial SSU rRNA". It matches the Rfam family "Bacterial small subunit ribosomal RNA", at positions 301 to 1347 of the family's 1533-position model. The record is from RNAcentral. Lineage: Bacteria; Bacillati; Bacillota; Bacilli; Caryophanales; Bacillaceae.